This 253-nucleotide ribosomal RNA is filed under the name uncultured Eubacteriales bacterium. Its description in RNAcentral is "uncultured Clostridiales bacterium partial 16S ribosomal RNA". It matches the Rfam family "Bacterial small subunit ribosomal RNA", at positions 524 to 776 of the family's 1533-position model. The record is from RNAcentral. Lineage: Bacteria; Bacillati; Bacillota; Clostridia; Eubacteriales.
UACGGAGGAUUCAAGCGUUAUCCGGAUUUACUGGGUGUAAAGGGAGCGUAGGUGGCAAGGCAAGUCAGAUGUGAAAACCCGGGGCCCAACCCCGGGAGUGCAUUUGAAACUGUCUGGCUAGAGUGCAGGAGAGGUAAGUGGAAUUCCUAGUGUAGCGGUGAAAUGCGUAGAUAUUGGGAGGAACACCAGUGGCGAAGGCGGCUUACUGGACUGUAACUGACGUUGAGGCUCGAAAGCGCGGGGAGCAAACAGG